RNAcentral lists this microRNA (22 nucleotides) under Monodelphis domestica (gray short-tailed opossum). RNAcentral's name for it is "mdo-miR-7315-3p". The record is from miRBase by way of RNAcentral. Lineage: Eukaryota; Metazoa; Chordata; Mammalia; Didelphimorphia; Didelphidae.
ACCCAGAUCUUCUAACCCAAUG